Molecule: long non-coding RNA, 1571 nt
Organism: Oreochromis niloticus (Nile tilapia)
Lineage: Eukaryota; Metazoa; Chordata; Actinopteri; Cichliformes; Cichlidae
Exons: 4
Source: RefSeq, a predicted model, not a curated record
GAAAGAGGGGAAUGUGAGGAGAAAGUACAAGGUCAGGAAGAACCAGUUUUUCCUUCAUUAUGAUUUGAUGGCCACCUGUGACUCACCUGUGUGGUGCUACCUGUGGAAUAAGGCUCUUUGUAUUUCUGGACAAAGAUCUGAGGAAUCUAUCUGGAUUGAUGACACGAUCUUCCAAAGAGCUGAUUGGGCACCUGUCUGCCAGGAAGAGCAACUUGAUGUUCAGCCCCUUACCCAGUAACAUUGAACUGAUCAACCUACUAAUAAGCUGAGUGACCUUUUCAGUCAAAUCCAAUUCUCAGGUCCACCUCAUCCCCCUGAUCUCAGCAAGCUGAGGAAAGCUGGAGUCAUCAUCUAACACCCGCACCAGAAAGCCAGAUCCUGACAUUUAAAUAAAAGAUGGUGCUUCUCAAAAGAAAUGCUGGACUUCAUAGAAAAUCUGAUAACACCGAAUGGCUUUUUCCUCGAUUUCAUAACAAGAUUCUCACUUGAAGGAAGCAUUAUUUUUAUCUCCUGUGCUACAUUGCCAGAAAAUUAAAUAUUUAUGGGCUUCUUUCCCCAUAUUUACAUACAAUGUGUUUAAUCUCUGUAGGUUACUCUUUUUCAAGGGCAGUUUUUUUUAUCAUGCCAAUUCACUAACCUCUCAAUUUAAAUGUGCUGUUGAAUUUCAAGUGUCUACUUGGCUUUGGCACUUCAGCACUGAAUGAAACAAGCACAAAUUAUGUAAGGUAAGUUCCCUUUCGGAUUUGUGCACCUUAGACAUUUGAAAGUGAGACCAUUGUCAUGUAAUGUCAUUGUCAAAAGACAGCAGCUGAUGAAUAUUUCAUCCCUCCUGCCUACCAAAUCUUUCCUGCAUGCAUACAGAUGUUCACUGCAUUAAAACAUUGUCGUGGCCCGCGGUGUUUCUGGUAUAGAGGGUUUGGUAUGUUCAUGUGUGCAAGUCAGUGAUAAAGCCACAGUUGGCUGCACAAAGUAAAAUCUUAUUUUCAAGUUACUGAACAAACUGAAAGACCAGCUUUUGAUUUGAUCAAAGCAGCUGAAUGUGGAAAAGCUUUUUCCUUUUACAAUAUGAUAAAAUUUAUAAAUCACUCAAACUUUAGUUCUGUGAAAUAUUUUAUGAGCCAGAUAACCUGGGAUUGGGUCAAAUUGGGCAAGAGAUGUGGUUCAUUAGCUCAUAAAAAGGUGACGUAUAUAAGUCUCAACCCAAAAUGAUUCCUUGCUUGUGUACUCCUUGCUAUUAGUACCGGUAAUCUAUUUCUGAAUGUGUAAAAAUGCCCUGUCCUUCUUGGUUCAUAAAGUACUACAGAUACAUAUGAGCAUGGUGUCCGUUCAUUGGUUUCCUCCUCUGCACCACCAUUCAGCUGCCUCAUUCCCUGGAGGCCACCUUGGCAUUAUGAGGUAUGAGCACAGCUCUUCUGGAGCCAUUUGGCCUCUUGCAGAAAGGUUGCCACAAAUCCGCCAUGCACAGGCGGGAGAAGCUGUGAAGCACAGGCGGGAGAAGCUGUGAAGCAAGCCAGGAUUUUACAAGAGAUUUGUUGAUGUCAUUGUUGUUUUUUUCCAAAUAAAUCCUCAGG